This 562-nucleotide ribosomal RNA is filed under the name uncultured bacterium. RNAcentral's name for it is "partial 16S ribosomal RNA". It matches the Rfam family "Bacterial small subunit ribosomal RNA", at positions 355 to 1375 of the family's 1533-position model. The record is from RNAcentral.
UGGGGAAUAUUGCACAAUGGGCGAAAGCCUGAUGCAGCAACGCCGCGUGAGUGAUGAAGGCCUUCGGGUUGUAAAGCUCUGUCUUUUGGGACGAUAAUGACGGUACCAAAGGAGGAAGCCACGGCUAACUACGUGCCAGCAGCCGCGGUAAUACGUAGGUGGCAAGCGUUGUCCGGAUUUACUGGGCGUAAAGGAUGCGUAGGCGGAUUUUUAAGUGAGAUGUGAAAACCCUAAGCUUAACUUGGGGACUGCAUUUCAUACUGGAAAUCUAGAGUGCGGGAGAGGAGAAUGGAAUUCCUAGUGUAGCGGUGAAAUGCGUAGAGAUUAGGAAGGACACCAGUGGCGAAGGCGAUUCUCUGGACCGUAACUGACGCUGAGGCAUGAAAGCGUGGGUAGCAAACAGGAUUAGAUACCCUGGUAGUCCACGCCGUAAACGAUGAGUACUAGGUGUAGGAGGUAUCGACCCCUUCUGUGCCGCAGUUAACACAAUAAGUACUCCGCCUGGGAAGUACGAUCGCAAGAUUAAAACUCAAAGGAAUUGACGGGGUCAUAGCUGUUUCCU